GAGGAAAGAGGAGGAACCUGCAAAGGGAGAUGUGUGCAGGUGUGCUCAGAUUUUUACUUUGAUUUGAGCCAUUGAUGUAUAUGGUUCUGCUUGCUCCCUAGGGAUUCAUAUA
This is a long non-coding RNA of Dipodomys spectabilis (banner-tailed kangaroo rat), 112 nucleotides long. RefSeq lists it as uncharacterized. Lineage: Eukaryota; Metazoa; Chordata; Mammalia; Rodentia; Heteromyidae. The record is from RefSeq and is a predicted model, not a curated record. The transcript is spliced from 3 exons.